This 264-nucleotide ribosomal RNA is filed under the name uncultured bacterium. RNAcentral describes it as "partial 16S ribosomal RNA". It matches the Rfam family "Bacterial small subunit ribosomal RNA", at positions 1235 to 1500 of the family's 1533-position model. The record is from RNAcentral.
CGGCACAGAGGGAAGCCAGGUGGCGACACCGCGCGGAACCGAAAGCCGUUCUCAGUUCGGAUCGGAGUCUGCAACCCGACUCCGUGAAGCUGGAUUCGCUAGUAAUCGCGGAUCAGCAUGCCGCGGUGAAUACGUUCCCGGGCCUUGUACACACCGCCCGUCACACCAUGAGAGUCGGGAACACCCGAAGUCCGUAGCCUAACCGCAAGGAGGGCGCGGCCGAAGGUGGGUUCGAUAAUUGGGGUGAAGUCGUAACAAGGUAUC